RNAcentral lists this ribosomal RNA (288 nucleotides) under uncultured bacterium. RNAcentral describes it as "partial 16S ribosomal RNA". It matches the Rfam family "Bacterial small subunit ribosomal RNA", at positions 333 to 618 of the family's 1533-position model. The record is from RNAcentral.
GUGGGCCUACGGGGGGCAGCAGUGAGGAAUAUUGGUCAAUGGCCGCAGGGCUGAACCAGCCAAGUCGCGUGAGGGACGACGGUCCUAUGGAUUGUAAACCUCUUUUGUCGGGGAACAAAGGCGCCCACGGGUGGGCGGAUGAGUGUACCCGAAGAAAAAGCAUCGGCUAACUCCGUGCCAGCAGCCGCGGUAAUACGGAGGAUGCGAGCGUUAUCCGGAUUUAUUGGGUUUAAAGGGUGCGUAGGCGGACAGUCAAGUCAGCGGUAAAAAUGCGGUGCUCAACGCCGU